RNAcentral lists this ribosomal RNA (427 nucleotides) under Stutzerimonas stutzeri. RNAcentral's name for it is "bacterial SSU rRNA". It matches the Rfam family "Bacterial small subunit ribosomal RNA", at positions 53 to 474 of the family's 1533-position model. Lineage: Bacteria; Pseudomonadati; Pseudomonadota; Gammaproteobacteria; Pseudomonadales; Pseudomonadaceae. The record is from RNAcentral.
ACAUGCAAGUCGAGCGGAUGAGUGGAGCUUGCUCCAUGAUUCAGCGGCGGACGGGUGGAGUAAUGCCUAGGAAUCUGCCUGGUAGUGGGGGACAACGUUUCGAAAGGAACGCUAAUACCGCAUACGUCCUACGGGAGAAAGUGGGGGAUCUUCGGACCUCACGCUAUCAGAUGAGCCUAGGUCGGAUUAGCUAGUUGGUGAGGUAAAGGCUCACCAAGGCGACGAUCCGUAACUGGUCUGAGAGGAUGAUCAGUCACACUGGAACUGAGACACGGUCCAGACUCCUACGGGAGGCAGCAGUGGGGAAUAUUGGACAAUGGGCGAAAGCCUGAUCCAGCCAUGCCGCGUGUGUGAANAAGGUCUUCGGAUUGUAAAGCACUUUAAGUUGGGAGGAAGGGCAGUAAGUUAAUACCUUGCUGUUUUGACG